This 23-nucleotide unclassified non-coding RNA is filed under the name Mus musculus (house mouse). RNAcentral's name for it is "oocyte_clustered_small_RNA5004". Lineage: Eukaryota; Metazoa; Chordata; Mammalia; Rodentia; Muridae. The record is from RNAcentral.
UAGUACAAAGGGGGCAAAAGAAC